UCCUGCCACCAGAGUCAUGGGCCAGAUAAACCUCUUUGCUCACCAGGGUUGGCUUCUUGGGUGAACUUCUUCAGAAUAUGCCUCAAUCUCCUGCAGAAUGAUACUUGCCCUGGCCCCACCAGCAGUGCCUCAACUGGACAUUCUUCAAGGUCAUUGUCCUCAAGAACAUAAACCAGGAAGGUGCAGUGGAUCCUCAAAUUAUGACCAGCCU
Molecule: long non-coding RNA, 211 nt
Filed under: Fukomys damarensis (Damara mole-rat)
Lineage: Eukaryota; Metazoa; Chordata; Mammalia; Rodentia; Bathyergidae
Description: lncRNA (ENSFDAG00000032664.1)
Source: RNAcentral